Molecule: long non-coding RNA, 1106 nt
Filed under: Gossypium barbadense (sea-island cotton)
Lineage: Eukaryota; Viridiplantae; Streptophyta; Magnoliopsida; Malvales; Malvaceae
Description: long non-coding RNA (GBAR_LNC005114)
Source: RNAcentral
AGUCGAACAUGUUACACCAGACCAAGGCUGUAAAUCACCAUCACCACAAGGAUCGUCCCCAAUCCAUGUAUAUACAACUCUCCAUCCAAGUGAUGCUUUUAUCUCAUUUAAGGCUUUUAUUGCAAUAAAACUAACCAAAUAUCAACCCAUUGCAUCAAAACAUAUUUAUGCUCUAUUUUAAUUUUCUUAAUAAUGAUAGCUUCAAUUCUCACAAAAUGAGCAGUAACAAUAAACAUCACAUAUCCCUAAAAACCAACUUUAAAUUUCUAAUUGAUCAAUUUAAGCUGCUCCACAAGAAUUCAAGCUAAAUGAGUAGUGUGGUAAAAGUUAGCUAAAAAAGAUGAAAACACAAGUGAAGAACCAAGUAGAGCACAAAAGCAGAGCACAAGAAUUAAUCUCAGUUAAAGAACCAAAGAUACAAACACUACUGGUAAUUCGUUCCACCAGAAGCUAAGUCAUAAAAUGACAACGAAGUAAAUUUGUAAAUUGUUCAAUUUCCAAAACUGUAGAAAUGCUUUGAUGGGAUAGUUUUAUUAUGAUCCGCAAAAGAGAAGCACUUACCAUUUUGUCUUAAACUGUUCUAAUCAUGGACUGCUAUUUUAUCAAUGAUUCUCAUCUGAUUUCAUUUUAUAGGUAUAACAUACUAUGGGUAUAAUGUGUAUACACACAAAACCAAAUAUUAAUUUUGGAUAAAGCUCUUUAAAACUUUUUUUUGUGAGAAAAGAAGAUUUAGUUUCAUUAAAGGUGUUAAUGUAAGGUAAAUAAUACAUAAAGGACAUUCCAUAUGAAUGGGGACAAAAAAAUGAGAGAGAUCUUCAACUUUGGAAGAGAACAACAUGGUCAAUAAUAGCAAAGGAGCAAAAUAACAAUUGAGUGAAAAAAAAACCUAUUCUUUUGAUUGCAUAUAUUUUCCUAUCAAACUGAAAAAAUAACAUCAAUGAAUUGUAAGAUAUAAAAAGGGAAGAUAUUUGGGAUUUACAUUCUAUAAAAUCUACCUACAUAUCUGCUCAUAUAAUUCACAACUGAUACAAGACUUGAGUUUAGAAAUUCAAUUGAGAGAACUUUACUCAUUCAAAUUGCACCUCUACAUGCAUGUAUUUCCUCGC